CCGAGUUUACAACUCCCAAACCCCUGUGAACAUACCACUUGUUGCCUCGGCGGAUCAGCCCGCUCCCGGUAAAACGGGACCGGCCCGCCAGAGGACCCCUAAACUCUGUUUCUAUAUGUAACUUCUGAGUAAAACCAUAAAUAAAUCAA
Molecule: unclassified non-coding RNA, 149 nt
Filed under: soil metagenome
Description: partial internal transcribed spacer 1
Source: RNAcentral